Molecule: long non-coding RNA, 254 nt
Filed under: Chinchilla lanigera (long-tailed chinchilla)
Lineage: Eukaryota; Metazoa; Chordata; Mammalia; Rodentia; Chinchillidae
Description: lncRNA (ENSCLAG00000027433.1)
Source: RNAcentral
UCUAGAUGUUGUAAUAAUAAGAGGGUGUCUCUACAGGAUGACUCAUGGGAGGGGCUGCCUAGAGGAGGUCAUCUCUGUACUGUAUGAGAUGAAAGGAAGAGGGGUGAGAGGAGAGCAAGUCAUGGGCAAGAGUCUGACAGAAGGAGUGGUGGCUGUCCCAGGAACGCUGUGGCAAGACAGUCCAGGAGACUAAGAAUCCAGCUGAGGGCCUGGAUCCCACGAUAAUGUCCUGCGUGAGUCCACCUGAAGACCUA